This 621-nucleotide ribosomal RNA is filed under the name Aeromonas caviae. RNAcentral's name for it is "partial 23S ribosomal RNA". It matches the Rfam family "Bacterial large subunit ribosomal RNA", at positions 2245 to 2860 of the family's 2925-position model. RNAcentral also lists the same sequence under 3 other names. Lineage: Bacteria; Pseudomonadati; Pseudomonadota; Gammaproteobacteria; Aeromonadales; Aeromonadaceae. The record is from RNAcentral.
UCGCGGACAGUGCCUGGUGGGUAGUUUGACUGGGGCGGUCUCCUCCCAAAGAGUAACGGAGGAGCACGAAGGUUGGCUAAUCCUGGUCGGACAUCAGGAGGUUAGUGCAAUGGCAUAAGCCAGCUUAACUGCGAGACGGACAGGUCGAGCAGGUACGAAAGUAGGUCAUAGUGAUCCGGUGGUUCUGAAUGGAAGGGCCAUCGCUCAACGGAUAAAAGGUACUCCGGGGAUAACAGGCUGAUACCGCCCAAGAGUUCAUAUCGACGGCGGUGUUUGGCACCUCGAUGUCGGCUCAUCACAUCCUGGGGCUGAAGUCGGUCCCAAGGGUAUGGCUGUUCGCCAUUUAAAGUGGUACGCGAGCUGGGUUCAGAACGUCGUGAGACAGUUCGGUCCCUAUCUGCCGUGGGCGUUGGAUGAUUGAAGGGAGUUGCUCCUAGUACGAGAGGACCGGAGUGAACGAACCUCUGGUGUUCGGGUUGUCACGCCAGUGGCACUGCCCGGUAGCUAAGUUCGGAAUCGAUAACCGCUGAAAGCAUCUAAGCGGGAAGCGAGCCCUGAGAUGAGUCAUCCCUGACCCCUUGAGGGUCCUAAAGGGCCGUUGGAGACCACAACGUUGAUAGG